This 2913-nucleotide ribosomal RNA is filed under the name Staphylococcus aureus. Its description in RNAcentral is "bacterial LSU rRNA". It matches the Rfam family "Bacterial large subunit ribosomal RNA". The record is from RNAcentral. Lineage: Bacteria; Bacillati; Bacillota; Bacilli; Caryophanales; Staphylococcaceae.
UUAAGGGCGCACGGUGGAUGCCUUGGCACUAGAAGCCGAUGAAGGACGUUACUAACGACGAUAUGCUUUGGGGAGCUGUAAGUAAGCUUUGAUCCAGAGAUUUCCGAAUGGGGAAACCCAGCAUGAGUUAUGUCAUGUUAUCGAUAUGUGAAUACAUAGCAUAUCAGAAGGCACACCCGGAGAACUGAAACAUCUUAGUACCCGGAGGAAGAGAAAGAAAAUUCGAUUCCCUUAGUAGCGGCGAGCGAAACGGGAAGAGCCCAAACCAACAAGCUUGCUUGUUGGGGUUGUAGGACACUCUAUACGGAGUUACAAAGGACGACAUUAGACGAAUCAUCUGGAAAGAUGAAUCAAAGAAGGUAAUAAUCCUGUAGUCGAAAAUGUUGUCUCUCUUGAGUGGAUCCUGAGUACGACGGAGCACGUGAAAUUCCGUCGGAAUCUGGGAGGACCAUCUCCUAAGGCUAAAUACUCUCUAGUGACCGAUAGUGAACCAGUACCGUGAGGGAAAGGUGAAAAGCACCCCGGAAGGGGAGUGAAAUAGAACCUGAAACCGUGUGCUUACAAGUAGUCAGAGCCCGUUAAUGGGUGAUGGCGUGCCUUUUGUAGAAUGAACCGGCGAGUUACGAUUUGAUGCAAGGUUAAGCAGUAAAUGUGGAGCCGUAGCGAAAGCGAGUCUGAAUAGGGCGUUUAGUAUUUGGUCGUAGACCCGAAACCAGGUGAUCUACCCUUGGUCAGGUUGAAGUUCAGGUAACACUGAAUGGAGGACCGAACCGACUUACGUUGAAAAGUGAGCGGAUGAACUGAGGGUAGCGGAGAAAUUCCAAUCGAACCUGGAGAUAGCUGGUUCUCUCCGAAAUAGCUUUAGGGCUAGCCUCAAGUGAUGAUUAUUGGAGGUAGAGCACUGUUUGGACGAGGGGCCCCUCUCGGGUUACCGAAUUCAGACAAACUCCGAAUGCCAAUUAAUUUAACUUGGGAGUCAGAACAUGGGUGAUAAGGUCCGUGUUCGAAAGGGAAACAGCCCAGACCACCAGCUAAGGUCCCAAAAUAUAUGUUAAGUGGAAAAGGAUGUGGCGUUGCCCAGACAACUAGGAUGUUGGCUUAGAAGCAGCCAUCAUUUAAAGAGUGCGUAAUAGCUCACUAGUCGAGUGACACUGCGCCGAAAAUGUACCGGGGCUAAACAUAUUACCGAAGCUGUGGAUUGUCCUUUGGACAAUGGUAGGAGAGCGUUCUAAGGGCGUUGAAGCAUGAUCGUAAGGACAUGUGGAGCGCUUAGAAGUGAGAAUGCCGGUGUGAGUAGCGAAAGACGGGUGAGAAUCCCGUCCACCGAUUGACUAAGGUUUCCAGAGGAAGGCUCGUCCGCUCUGGGUUAGUCGGGUCCUAAGCUGAGGCCGACAGGCGUAGGCGAUGGAUAACAGGUUGAUAUUCCUGUACCACCUAUAAUCGUUUUAAUCGAUGGGGGGACGCAGUAGGAUAGGCGAAGCGUGCGAUUGGAUUGCACGUCUAAGCAGUAAGGCUGAGUAUUAGGCAAAUCCGGUACUCGUUAAGGCUGAGCUGUGAUGGGGAGAAGACAUUGAGUCUUCGAGUCGUUGAUUUCACACUGCCGAGAAAAGCCUCUAGAUAGAAAAUAGGUGCCCGUACCGCAAACCGACACAGGUAGUCAAGAUGAGAAUUCUAAGGUGAGCGAGCGAACUCUCGUUAAGGAACUCGGCAAAAUGACCCCGUAACUUCGGGAGAAGGGGUGCUCUUUAGGGUUAACGCCCAGAAGAGCCGCAGUGAAUAGGCCCAAGCGACUGUUUAUCAAAAACACAGGUCUCUGCUAAACCGUAAGGUGAUGUAUAGGGGCUGACGCCUGCCCGGUGCUGGAAGGUUAAGAGGAGUGGUUAGCUUCUGCGAAGCUACGAAUCGAAGCCCCAGUAAACGGCGGCCGUAACUAUAACGGUCCUAAGGUAGCGAAAUUCCUUGUCGGGUAAGUUCCGACCCGCACGAAAGGCGUAACGAUUUGGGCACUGUCUCAACGAGAGACUCGGUGAAAUCAUAGUACCUGUGAAGAUGCAGGUUACCCGCGACAGGACGGAAAGACCCCGUGGAGCUUUACUGUAGCCUGAUAUUGAAAUUCGGCACAGCUUGUACAGGAUAGGUAGGAGCCUUUGAAACGUGAGCGCUAGCUUACGUGGAGGCGCUGGUGGGAUACUACCCUAGCUGUGUUGGCUUUCUAACCCGCACCACUUAUCGUGGUGGGAGACAGUGUCAGGCGGGCAGUUUGACUGGGGCGGUCGCCUCCUAAAAGGUAACGGAGGCGCUCAAAGGUUCCCUCAGAAUGGUUGGAAAUCAUUCAUAGAGUGUAAAGGCAUAAGGGAGCUUGACUGCGAGACCUACAAGUCGAGCAGGGUCGAAAGACGGACUUAGUGAUCCGGUGGUUCCGCAUGGAAGGGCCAUCGCUCAACGGAUAAAAGCUACCCCGGGGAUAACAGGCUUAUCUCCCCCAAGAGUUCACAUCGACGGGGAGGUUUGGCACCUCGAUGUCGGCUCAUCGCAUCCUGGGGCUGUAGUCGGUCCCAAGGGUUGGGCUGUUCGCCCAUUAAAGCGGUACGCGAGCUGGGUUCAGAACGUCGUGAGACAGUUCGGUCCCUAUCCGUCGUGGGCGUAGGAAAUUUGAGAGGAGCUGUCCUUAGUACGAGAGGACCGGGAUGGACAUACCUCUGGUGUACCAGUUGUCGUGCCAACGGCAUAGCUGGGUAGCUAUGUGUGGACGGGAUAAGUGCUGAAAGCAUCUAAGCAUGAAGCCCCCCUCAAGAUGAGAUUUCCCAACUUCGGUUAUAAGAUCCCUCAAAGAUGAUGAGGUUAAUAGGUUCGAGGUGGAAGCAUGGUGACAUGUGGAGCUGACGAAUACUAAUCGAUCGAAGACUUAAUCAA